UGGUUUUAUUAUCCAUAAAAACAAUCUUUUGCAGCUGCUAACAAUAUGUGAUACUUGGAGCGUGAAACCGAGACCAACAUGUGCUGAAUAAACAAAGAUUUGACCGACAGCCGGAAAGAUGAUGCACAGCGCAACCAUUGGGCUAGCAGAGACUAUAGCCCCGAACCCCUGCUUUUUGCAAUAAAAGACAAUCCAAGGUACCCUGAAACUGAUGUUGUUCUACAACUGUUCAUAAUUUGGUUAUCAUGCAUUUAGACAGGGAAACAACGAUCAAAGAGAAACAGGCGAAAAGUUACACAGUAGGUUACAAAAACCUACUUGGGAUACACUCUGUGU
This is a non-coding RNA of Rhopilema esculentum, 336 nucleotides long. The record is from RefSeq and is a predicted model, not a curated record. Lineage: Eukaryota; Metazoa; Cnidaria; Scyphozoa; Rhizostomeae; Rhizostomatidae.